This is a long non-coding RNA of Homo sapiens (human), 1092 nucleotides long. Ensembl annotates it as long intergenic non-protein coding RNA 466. Lineage: Eukaryota; Metazoa; Chordata; Mammalia; Primates; Hominidae. The record is from Ensembl.
GGAGUCUCCAGAGCAGCGCGCGGGGCAGACCUCCUCGGGUCCUCCGGCGCUUCGGUCUCCGGAGACGCCCGGCCUCCUGAAGGGUUCGGCUUGUCCUCCUCUGGCGCUCAGCUCCCUCUGGCGGCCGGGCUGGCAGGACCUCAGCGCCCAGCCCUUCCGUCUUGUUACGUCCAGGGUCUCACUCUGUGUCUCAGGCUGGAGUACAGUGGUGCAAUUGUAGAUGGCUGCAGCCCUCGACCUCCUGGGCUCAAGUGAUCCUCCUGCCUUAGCCUCUCGAGUAGCUGGGAGUACAGAUGCACACCACCACACCCAGCCUAGAAUGAAGAAACCUGCAGUUGGGAAGCAUGAAUUUACCACCUAUUAAGAAGUAGUCAUCAGGCAUGACCUCCCAUGGGUGCUCACAGAAGAUGGUGCCGUGCAUGUGCAGAACUUCCCAGGCCAAGAUCCACCACAUUGGACCCACUGAGAGACACACUGCCUUAUGCCAGGGACCUGGUGGAAAGGUCACCCCCAGAAUGGACAGGCUGGGAAGAGCUCACUUAACAGUGCACUGGUUUACUGAGACAAUUCAAAACACACAUUCAUUUUGUGUGCUUAUGAAAUAUAUCCCAAGAAAAUGGAAACAACUCUGUCCUUGACCUUCAAAAAGAAAUUGACUUACCUAGCUUAACUAUUCAAACAAACAACUGUGUACUCUCUUCAAUUCCGAUGAUGAUUUUGAUUUACUGUAAAUGACUGAAUUUAAUGAACUAAAUUAUGCUAUUUAAAUGCAUUUUGUGAAUGGUAUUGUAGUUUGUUACAAAGCAUUAUGUCCAUGCUAAAUUGUGCUGUAAAUGAUAUGGUAUGGAACAUAUGUGCUGUAUUCAUAAUUUAACUGUUGCUGUGGAUUGCCUUCUUGGAUAGGACACAUUGAAAAAAGGAGCCUUUAUUUACCUGGUGAAAUGAAGGUGAUAUCUCAGCAAAUCACUAGGUCUUACUGACCUUGGCAGAAUUACAGUGCUAAUAUUUUCACAUGGAUGAACUGUUCUUAAACAAUUUCUCUAAUGUAUAUGGCAGAAAUCGGCUUUCCAUUAAAACUAGGUAUAUAUGGUA